This 512-nucleotide unclassified non-coding RNA is filed under the name Hevea brasiliensis (rubber tree). The record is from RNAcentral. Lineage: Eukaryota; Viridiplantae; Streptophyta; Magnoliopsida; Malpighiales; Euphorbiaceae.
CACAAUCCUGGAUUGCCCAAGAAACUAGAGGCAGGAAAAGUGUCAAACUGGCCUCCUGAAGGUAUAGGUCCUUCAAGAUUGUUGUCCGCGACACUGAAUGAAGACAAGAAAUUUAGUCCUUUUAAUGAUGCAGGGAUUUCACCAGUUAGAUGGUUUGCAGAGAGAUCCAACUUCUCUAAGUUGGUCAAUUUGGAAAGUUCAUUGGGAAUGCUUCCAGAGAAGUUGUUGUCACUCAGAUCCAACACAUGAAGGAACUUCAGUUGGCCAAGCUCGACAGGGAUAUUGCCCCUAAGGCUGUUGUUGCUCAUGUAUAUUGCUGGUGGUAGGUGCGAGAGCUUAAUGUAUUGCUGAUAGUUAGCAUUCUUGGUCUUGACAAGGACAGGCACCUCUAGAUAGGUUGUAUCCAGUUCGUAGUGUGCCAUCGCUGAUGCCAAUGACGGCAAUAAGUUGAGAUCCCUGGGAAAUUCACCUGAUAUGAAGUUAUUACCCAAGUCUAUGUAGAAAAGGCUUGG